GGUUGACUUUACCUGUGGAAUUUCAAGAAUAUUUACAUACCUGAAAGAAUAUUUAGAUUUUUUAACAUUCACCAAAUUUUGUAAGCACGCAGGAGCUAUGUUGUUUAUAAUUUUAAAAGUUUCUAGAGCCAUUGUUCUUAUCCGUCUGAUCUGCAAGGAGGGCACCUUAUCUUUAAGUAAGAGGUCCUCGUAGGAGCUGGUAAAAUUCU
This 209-nucleotide long non-coding RNA is filed under the name Mytilus galloprovincialis (Mediterranean mussel). Lineage: Eukaryota; Metazoa; Mollusca; Bivalvia; Mytilida; Mytilidae. The record is from RNAcentral.